Molecule: non-coding RNA, 118 nt
Organism: Picea glauca (white spruce)
Lineage: Eukaryota; Viridiplantae; Streptophyta; Pinopsida; Pinales; Pinaceae
Source: Rfam
AUGUAAAUUCCUACAACAUUAAUGCACCGGAUCCCAUUAUAACUCCGCAGUUAAGAACACUUGGGAUAUAUUAGUAUUGGUAUAGGUGACCUCCCAGGAAUUCCUAGCAUUUUACAUG